RNAcentral lists this ribosomal RNA (587 nucleotides) under uncultured bacterium. Its description in RNAcentral is "partial 16S ribosomal RNA". It matches the Rfam family "Bacterial small subunit ribosomal RNA", at positions 355 to 1375 of the family's 1533-position model. The record is from RNAcentral.
UGGGGAAUUUUGGACAAUGGGCGAAAGCCUGAUCCAGCAAUGCCGCGUGUGUGAAGAAGGCCUUCGGGUUGUAAAGCACUUUUGUCCGGAAAGAAAUCCUUGGCUCUAAUACAGUCGGGGGAUGACGGUACCGGAAGAAUAAGCACCGGCUAACUACGUGCCAGCAGCCGCGGUAAUACGUAGGGUGCAAGCGUUAAUCGGAAUUACUGGGCGUAAAGCGUGCGCAGGCGGUUUGCUAAGACCGAUGUGAAAUCCCCGGGCUCAACCUGGGAACUGCAUUGGUGACUGGCAGGCUAGAGUAUGGCAGAGGGGGGUAGAAUUCCACGUGUAGCAGUGAAAUGCGUAGAGAUGUGGAGGAAUACCGAUGGCGAAGGCAGCCCCCUGGGCCAAUACUGACGCUCAUGCACGAAAGCGUGGGGAGCAAACAGGAUUAGAUACCCUGGUAGUCCACGCCCUAAACGAUGUCAACUAGUUGUUGGGGAUUCAUUUCCUUUUAGUAACGUAGCUAACGCGUGAAGUUGACCGCCUGGGGAGUACGGUCGCAAGAUUAAAACUCAAAGGAAUUGACGGGGUCAUAGCUGUUUCCU